Molecule: ribosomal RNA, 301 nt
Filed under: uncultured bacterium
Lineage: Bacteria
Description: partial 16S ribosomal RNA
Rfam family: Bacterial small subunit ribosomal RNA
Source: RNAcentral
CAGUCGCCGCGGGAAGACAGAGGAUGCAAGCGUUAUCCGGAAUGAUUGGGCGUAAAGGGCUCGCAGGCGGUUUCUUAAGUCUGAUGUGAAAGCCCCCGGCUCAACCGGGGAGGGUCAUUGGAAACUGGGAAACUUGAGUGCAGAAGAGGAGAGUGGAAUUCCACGUGUAGCGGUGAAAUGCGUAGAGAUGUGGAGGAACACCAGUGGCGAAGGCGACUCUCUGGUCUGUAACUGACGCUGAGGAGCGAAAGCGUGGGGAGCGAACAGGAUUAGAUACCCGGGUAGUCCCUGUCUCUUAACC